Molecule: ribosomal RNA, 889 nt
Filed under: uncultured bacterium
Lineage: Bacteria
Description: bacterial SSU rRNA
Rfam family: Bacterial small subunit ribosomal RNA
Source: RNAcentral
GUGCCAGCAGCCGCGGUAAUACGGAAGGUCCGGGCGUUAUCCGGAUUUAUUGGGUUUAAAGGGAGCGCAGGCUGAUUGUUAAGCGUGACGUGAAAUGUAGCCGCUCAACGGCUGAACUGCGUCGCGAACUGGCAGUCUUGAGUGAGUACGACGUCAGCGGAAUUCGUGGUGUAGCGGUGAAAUGCUUAGAUAUCACGAAGAACCCCGAUUGCGAAGGCAGCUGACGAGUCCUUUACUGACGCUAAAGCUCGAAGGUGCGGGUAUCGAACAGGAUUAGAUACCCUGGUAGUCCGCACGGUAAACGAUGGAUGCCCGCUGUUGGCGAUACAAUGUCAGCGGCCAAGCGAAAGCGUUAAGCAUCCCACCUGGGGAGUACGCCGGCAACGGUGAAACUCAAAGGAAUUGACGGGGGCCCGCACAAGCGGAGGAACAUGUGGUUUAAUUCGAUGAUACGCGAGGAACCUUACCCGGGCUUGAACUGCACAGGAAGGAUACAGAGAUGUUGACGCCCUUCGGGGCCUGUGUGGAGGUGCUGCAUGGUUGUCGUCAGCUCGUGCCGUGAGGUGUCGGCUUAAGUGCCAUAACGAGCGCAACCCUUUCCGUUAGUUGCCAUCAGGUCAUGCUGGGCACUCUGGCGGUACUGCCACCGUAAGGUGUGAGGAAGGUGGGGAUGACGUCAAAUCAGCACGGCCCUUACGUCCGGGGCUACACACGUGUUACAAUGGGGAGUACAGAGAGUCGAGUGCCGGCAACGUCACUCCAAUCCUUAAAGCUCUCCUCAGUUCGGAUUGGGGUCUGCAACCCGACCCCAUGAAGCUGGAUUCGCUAGUAAUCGCGCAUCAGCCAUGGCGCGGUGAAUACGUUCCCGGGCCUUGUACACACCGCCCGU